RNAcentral lists this ribosomal RNA (254 nucleotides) under uncultured bacterium. RNAcentral's name for it is "partial 16S ribosomal RNA". It matches the Rfam family "Bacterial small subunit ribosomal RNA", at positions 524 to 776 of the family's 1533-position model. The record is from RNAcentral.
CACGUAGGGGGCGAGCGUUGUCCGGAUUUAUUGGGCGUAAAGAGCUCGUAGGCGGCUCAGUAAGUCAGGUGUGAAAACUCCAGGCUCAACCUGGAGACGCCACCUGAUACUGCUGUGGCUAGAGUCCGGUAGGGGGGCAUGGAAUUCCUGGUGUAGCGGUGAAAUGCGCAGAUAUCAGGAGGAACACCAGUGGCGAAGGCGGUGCUCUGGGCCGGAACUGACGCUGAGGAGCGAAAGCGUGGGGAGCAAACAGG